Molecule: unclassified non-coding RNA, 233 nt
Filed under: Hevea brasiliensis (rubber tree)
Lineage: Eukaryota; Viridiplantae; Streptophyta; Magnoliopsida; Malpighiales; Euphorbiaceae
Source: RNAcentral
AUACCCAAGGUUGUUACAUGGUAUCAAAGCCACCAUCGCCCUUUAUGUCCGUCGUGCCUUGGAGAGUGACACUGGUAUUGCGGUGUUUGUCUGGGGCUACUAAUGUCUAGCAUACAGCCAUCGAGGACGAUGGAUGCAGAGCUUGGUGGUUUGUUAUGGUCCAGUCUCACAGCUAUACUACUACGUGCUGAGGUGGAGUUUUCAGCCUUUGGCUCUCCCACCUCAAUAGCUAG